GUGAAAUUGAACUCGCUGUGAAGAUGCAGUGUACCCGCGGCAAGACGGAAAGACCCCGUGAACCUUUACUAUAGCUUGACACUGAACAUUGAGCCUUGAUGUGUAGGAUAGGUGGGAGGCUUUGAAGUGUGGACGCCAGUCUGCAUGGAGCCGACCUUGAAAUACCACCCUUUAAUGUUUGAUGUUCUAACGUGGACCCGUUACCCGGGUUGCGGACAGUGUCUGGUGGGUAGUUUGACUGGGGCGGUCUCCUCCUAAAGAGUAACGGAGGAGCACGAAGGUUGGCUAAUCCUGGUCGGACAUCAGGAGGUUAGUGCAAUGGCAUAAGCCAGCUUGACUGCGAGCGUGACGGCGCGAGCAGGUGCGAAAGCAGGUCAUAGUGAUCCGGUGGUUCUGAAUGGAAGGGCCAUCGCUCAACGGAUAAAAGGUACUCCGGGGAUAACAGGCUGAUACCGCCCAAGAGUUCAUAUCGACGGCGGUGUUUGGCACCUCGAUGUCGGCUCAUCACAUCCUGGGGCUGAAGUAGGUCCCAAGGGUAUGGCUGUUCGCCAUUUAAAGUGGUACGCGAGCUGGGUUUAGAACGUCGUGAGACAGUUCGGUCCCUAUCUGCCGUGGGCGCUGGAGAACUGAGGGGGGCUGCUCCUAGUACGAGAGGACCGGAGUGGACGCAUCACUGGUGUUCGGGUUGUCAUGCCAAUGGCACUGCCCGGUAGCUAAAUGCGGAAGAGAUAAGUGCUGAAAGCAUCUAAGCACGAAACUUGCCCCGA
RNAcentral lists this ribosomal RNA (767 nucleotides) under Salmonella enterica. RNAcentral's name for it is "partial 23S ribosomal RNA". It matches the Rfam family "Bacterial large subunit ribosomal RNA", at positions 2036 to 2802 of the family's 2925-position model. The record is from RNAcentral. Lineage: Bacteria; Pseudomonadati; Pseudomonadota; Gammaproteobacteria; Enterobacterales; Enterobacteriaceae.